UGCCAGACUCCUACGGGAGGCAGCAGUGGGGAAUAUUGCACAAUGGGGGAAACCCUGAUGCAGCGACGCCGCGUGAGCGAUGAAGUAUUUCGGUAUGUAAAGCUCUAUCAGCAGGGAAGAAGAUGACGGUACCUGACUAAGAAGCCCCGGCUAACUACGUGCCAGCAGCCGCGGUAAUACGUAGGGGGCAAGCGUUAUCCGGAUUUACUGGGUGUAAAGGGAGCGUAGACGGCGAUGCAAGCCAGAUGUGAAAGCCCGGGGCUCAACUCCGGGACUGCAUUUGGAACUGUGUGGCUGGAGUGUCGGAGAGGCAGGCGGAAUUCCUAGUGUAGCGGUGAAAUGCGUAGAUAUUAGGAGGAACACCAGUGGCGAAGGCGGCCUGCUGGACGAUGACUGACGUUGAGGCUCGAAAGCGUGGGGAGCAAACAGGAUUAGAUACCCCUGUACC
This 448-nucleotide ribosomal RNA is filed under the name uncultured bacterium. Its description in RNAcentral is "bacterial SSU rRNA". It matches the Rfam family "Bacterial small subunit ribosomal RNA", at positions 329 to 794 of the family's 1533-position model. The record is from RNAcentral.